GAUGGACGCUGGCGGUAUGCUUAACACAUGCAAGUCGAACGGACUCUUCGGAGUUAGUGGCGGACGGGUGAGUAACGCGUGAGAAUCUGGCUUUGGGUUCGGGACAACCACUGGAAACGGUGGCUAAUACCGGAUGUGCCGAGAGGUAAAAGAGAAAUUGCCUGAAGAUGAGCUCGCGUCUGAUUAGCUAGUUGGUGAGGUAAAGGCUCACCAAGGCAGCGAUCAGUAGCUGGUCUGAGAGGAUGACCAGCCACACGGGGACUGAGACACGGCCCAGACUCCUACGGGAGGCAGCAGUGGGGAAUUUUCCGCAAUGGGCGAAAGCCUGACGGAGCAAUACCGCGUGAGGGAAGAAGGCUCUUGGGGUGUAAACCUCUUUUCUUAGGGAAGAACAAAAUGACGGUACCUAAGGAAUCAGCAUCGGCUAACUCCGUG
This 435-nucleotide ribosomal RNA is filed under the name uncultured bacterium. RNAcentral's name for it is "partial 16S ribosomal RNA". It matches the Rfam family "Bacterial small subunit ribosomal RNA", at positions 28 to 507 of the family's 1533-position model. The record is from RNAcentral.